This 253-nucleotide ribosomal RNA is filed under the name uncultured bacterium. RNAcentral describes it as "partial 16S ribosomal RNA". It matches the Rfam family "Bacterial small subunit ribosomal RNA", at positions 524 to 776 of the family's 1533-position model. The record is from RNAcentral.
UACGUAGGGGGCAAGCGUUGUCCGGAAUCAUUGGGCGUAAAGAGCGCGUAGGCGGUCCGGUAAGUCCGCUCUGAAAGUCCGGGGCUCAACCCCGGGAGGCGGGCGGAUACUGUCGGGCUCGAGUCCGGAAGAGGAGUGUGGAAUUCCUGGUGUAGCGGUGAAAUGCGCAGAUAUCAGGAGGAACACCAAUGGCGAAGGCAGCACUCUGGGACGUGACUGACGCUGAGACGCGAAAGCGUGGGGAGCAAACAGG